CCGUGGGUGAACCUGCGGAAGGAUCAUUA
This 29-nucleotide ribosomal RNA is filed under the name Lentinula edodes (shiitake mushroom). RNAcentral's name for it is "partial 18S ribosomal RNA". Lineage: Eukaryota; Fungi; Basidiomycota; Agaricomycetes; Agaricales; Omphalotaceae. The record is from RNAcentral.